Molecule: long non-coding RNA, 224 nt
Filed under: Gossypium barbadense (sea-island cotton)
Lineage: Eukaryota; Viridiplantae; Streptophyta; Magnoliopsida; Malvales; Malvaceae
Description: long non-coding RNA (GBAR_LNC012899)
Source: RNAcentral
UUCCUUUAUGGGGAGCCAGUGUACCACUAUAUCAGUAUUCAACCCGGGCAUGUCUUGAUACGACCAUGCGAAGACAUCCUUGAAUUCUUGUAGUAACUCAAUGAGGUCUCGCCUUGUUUCUGGGGCGAUACAGGCUCAAUCUUUACCUCUUUUCCUUCUCCUAAGUUCACGAUUUCCACUGACUCCUUGUGAGGUAGGACUUGUUUCUCAACUUCUUCUACCAU